ACUCCUCCGCAUUCACCUGAUUUGCAUGUGUGGACUCCUGCUGAGUUCCCACAGCUGGGGGCCAGCAAGCAGGUGCCACCGAUGCUGGCUUACUCAGGCACAACUUGCCAGGUGCAAGUUGUUGGAUGUAUGGCAACGGUUCUCUUUGUGUGAGGGCACCUGCUCCACAAGUGAAAUAUUCAUAUAAGUUCCAGGCAGUCUCCAUCUCUCCUGAAGCAAGAUGCCCUAAGCUGUGUCCAGUCCUGUGAACUUAGGAGUGUUGCAUGGAUUGAAAAAGUGAACUCAGGUUUGUCCCAGAUUAUAUUCCUAUUUGUACUGUGAAUUUCUUAUCAUUGUUAUACCUUUCAUGUUAAUAAAACUGAACCAUGGUCCUACAUCCAAAGGUUGUAAGACAUGAGACCUGGAUUCUAAUCCAAACUUGACCCUGGAGCUGCUCAAACUUCAGCUGCAUAUGGCUAGGCUUUUGGAGACAUACAAAUUCGUCUUGGCACAGCCUUGGAAAUUUAAUAGAUCCAAAUGCCGGCAGGUCUUUGAAGCUAGUAACCGAUUGUUAUGGGGCCAUCUGGUGGUGAAGUGUGUGCCAGGCAUGAGUGAAAUACUCGGAAAAAGAGGACGCCUGCCCCACAUGUGCUGGUGAAACACUGCACUGCCAACCGUUCUCUCCUGCAAGUUUCUGGUAAGCAUACAUAAUUUUGCGGCAGGUGUUGCUCUGCCCAACCCACUGCACCUGAUCCUAGAAAGGUGUCCGAAGACACUGAACUUGUGGGGCUCCCCCAGCUGCCAGUGACUGGACAAAGUGAGGUGCGCUGCUGGGUUCUGGUUUGCAGCGUGGCAUGGCUGGGCAGCCCAACCACAGCCCUUCUGCUCUACAGAAGGAGCUCCCGCCUGAGCGCCAGGCAAGAGACAGCAGAUGGGAGAGACAGAUGGAAGGGUGCAGGGAAACAAUGAGAUAAAUGAGCAAAAACUGAGUUGAAGACUUUAGCAGUUGGUUCCUAAAUUGUUAAUUUUACUAAUCAUCUCGGCUGAUGUAACCCUGAGGCAGGACGGCUCUCCGCUCCCAAAGGCCCCAGUGCUUACAGUCCCUGCACGCUGUACUUCUGGCAGCGGGAGUUCAGCAGGCAAGCAGCGGCGAGGCGGGGAGGUAUCUAGAGAAACUCAUUUAGAGAAAGAGAGCGGGGCACGCCAGCACCCCGGGGCUUGGGAGAGCCUCAUUAGCAUGGCUUGGUAGCAAAGCGCUAACAGACAGACACGCAAUUCAGGUUUUUUACGAGCACGGCGCUGCCCGGCAGCCACCGCUCGUGGGCAGCGACGCCCGGGGCGGGCGGGACGUGCCACGCGGCCGCAGAGCUCUCCAGGUACGCCGUGCCACGCGCCUCGGC
Molecule: long non-coding RNA, 1379 nt
Filed under: Pavo cristatus (Indian peafowl)
Lineage: Eukaryota; Metazoa; Chordata; Aves; Galliformes; Phasianidae
Description: lncRNA (ENSPSTG00000016667.1)
Source: RNAcentral